This is a long non-coding RNA of Lates calcarifer (barramundi perch), 494 nucleotides long. RefSeq lists it as uncharacterized. The record is from RefSeq and is a predicted model, not a curated record. Lineage: Eukaryota; Metazoa; Chordata; Actinopteri; Centropomidae. The transcript is spliced from 2 exons.
AAGUCUUUCCCCCACCCGUGCAGUCAGGCACGAGUCAGGAGUAUCCAAGAGACCCAGGAGUAUCCAAUCCACCAGGUCAAUUAACUGAGUUUCCCACCAAGCUUUCAUACUCUGGAACACCCACCACAGAUUCUUCAUUUUUAACUUCACUUUUCUACGUUUUCAUGUUUUUUUUUUUGUUUGUUUUUUUGUUUUUUUUGGUGUGUGUGUUUUUGGUUUUUCUUUUCUCCUUUUUCUUUUUUAAAUGUAUAUAAUACAUUACAACCCAGCUACAGUCAUUGAUUGAAGCUUUUCUUAUCAGUGCUGAACAUGACCGUAACACUCUUGUCCUCAAUCACAGCUCUUCAUCCUCUGUGGGCCACACAGGCCAGGAAAAUCUCUCAACGAGUGAGUUUGAUGUAGCCCCAGAUGCAAAUCUGGCCACGAAUCUCACAGCAUUGGCAGAUAUCAGCCAGGAUCUCAUUGCCAUCCCUGCUGAAGAACUGUUUACAUCC